CCUACGGGAGACAGCAGUAGGGAAUCUUCCACAAUGGACGAAAGUCUGAUGGAGCAACGCCGCGUGCGUGAAGAAGGGUUUCGGCUCGUAAAGCUCUGUUGGUAGUGAAGAAAGUUAGAGGUAGUAACUGUCCUUUAUUUGACGGUAAUUACUUAGAAAGUCACGGCUAACUACGUGCCAGCAGCCGCGGUAAUACGUAGGUGGCAAGCGUUGUCCGGAUUUAUUGGGCGUAAAGCGAGUGCAGGCGGUUCAAUAAGUCUGAUGUGAAAGCCCUCGGCUCAACCGGAGAAUUGCAUCAGAAACUGUAGAACGUGAGUGCAGAAGAGGAGAGUGGAACGCCAGGUGUAGCGGUGAAAUGCGUAGAGAUCAGGAGGAACACCGGUGGCGAAGGCGGCCUGCUGGACUGCAACUGACGUUGAGGCCCGAAAGCGUGGGGAGCAAACAGGAUUGGAUACCUUUGUAGUC
Molecule: ribosomal RNA, 465 nt
Filed under: uncultured bacterium
Lineage: Bacteria
Description: partial 16S ribosomal RNA
Rfam family: Bacterial small subunit ribosomal RNA
Source: RNAcentral